This 492-nucleotide ribosomal RNA is filed under the name uncultured bacterium. RNAcentral describes it as "partial 16S ribosomal RNA". It matches the Rfam family "Bacterial small subunit ribosomal RNA", at positions 29 to 507 of the family's 1533-position model. The record is from RNAcentral.
AGUGAACGCUGGCGGUAGGCCUAACACAUGCAAGUCGAACGGCAGCACAGUAAGAGCUUGCUCUUACGGGUGGCGAGUGGCGGACGGGUGAGGAAUACAUCGGAAUCUACUUUUUCGUGGGGGAUAACGUAGGGAAACUUACGCUAAUACCGCAUACGACCUGCGGGUGAAAGCAGGGGAUCUUCGGACCUUGCGCGAUUGAAUGAGCCGAUGUCGGAUUAGCUAGUUGGCGGGGUAAAGGCCCACCAAGGCGACGAUCCGUAGCUGGUCUGAGAGGAUGAUCAGCCACACUGGAACUGAGACACGGUCCAGACUCCUACGGGAGGCAGCAGUGGGGAAUAUUGGACAAUGGGCGCAAGCCUGAUCCAGCCAUACUGCGUGGGUGAAGAAGGCCUUCGGGUUGUAAAGCCCUUUUGUUGGGAAAGAAAAGCAGCAGGUUAAUACCCCGCUGUUCUGACGGUACCCAAAGAAUAAGCACCGGCUAACUUCGUG